RNAcentral lists this long non-coding RNA (619 nucleotides) under Strongylocentrotus purpuratus (purple sea urchin). RNAcentral describes it as "uncharacterized LOC115922248, transcript variant X2". The record is from RNAcentral. Lineage: Eukaryota; Metazoa; Echinodermata; Echinoidea; Camarodonta; Strongylocentrotidae.
AAAUAUCAACAUAUUUUUUCAUCUUGAUUUUCUGCUAUUUCAGGUUCUUUUCAAUUGAUGCAUGGGGAUGGAGAAAAAAAGGCCUCUCCCAAGCUAUGGUGUCCCGCCUUGUGAAGUCCAUCUCAAUAGCCAUUGCCAGGAGAUGGGAGCAAUACAUCACAAUUCCUUCAGCAAGAGAGGCAGUCCUGCAGAGUGCAGACCCAACAUGAAUUGUAUAAUUACUGCCAUUUCCCUGGCGUUAGUAUGGUCGGUGCUAUUGAUUGCACCCACAUAGGCAUCUCCAAGCCAGUUGGCCCAACACCAGUUAUUUCCUGAACAGGAAAAAAUAGAUACUCCAUUUUUCUUGGAAAGUCUGCUGGAUGAUGUUUUUCUUCAGUAAAAUAAAUGAAGGCAAAUUCCCUGAUAACUGAGACAAAUUCAGAGAGAGGAAGGAGAACUACUGAGCUGCUGAAUUUCUGACAGACAUACUUGCAAGGACUAUGAAGUUCUACUUAGCCUCUUCAAUGAACCAGACUCCAUCUGCUGUAACUGUGACUGCAUGGGGAUCAAAACCUGUGUAUUAUAAUCCUCAUAACAUGAAGCUAUGGUAACAAACAAGCAACCAUUGAUAAAAAGCCUG